RNAcentral lists this long non-coding RNA (213 nucleotides) under Prunus persica (peach). Its description in RNAcentral is "long non-coding RNA (PPER_LNC007948)". The record is from RNAcentral. Lineage: Eukaryota; Viridiplantae; Streptophyta; Magnoliopsida; Rosales; Rosaceae.
GACUGUGAUUUUGGGUGAGGAAUAUGUCGCAAAAAAGUUAUUUUCUAUGUCUCAGACCGGUGAGGACUUCACAAUUUAUCUAGAUAAAACUAGUAAGCAAAGUAGAUGCACGUAUUUAUGAAAAUAAAACGAACGAGUUUAAGCAAAACUGCUUGAAAUAUAAAGCAUAAAUAGAAUUAGGAUGAGACCCCAGAGCAUUGGACUUUGCUUUUU